Molecule: ribosomal RNA, 720 nt
Filed under: uncultured marine eukaryote
Lineage: Eukaryota
Description: SSU rRNA
Rfam family: Eukaryotic small subunit ribosomal RNA
Source: RNAcentral
CCGAUUCGGGGAGGUAGUGACAAUAAAUAACAAUACAGGGCCAACGGUCUUGUUAUUGGAAUGAGAACAAUUUAAAUAACUUAACAAGGAUCAAUUAGAGGGCAAGUCUGGUGCCAGCAGCCGCGGUAAUUCCAGCUCUAAUAGCGUAUAUUAAAGUUGUUGCAGUUAAAAAGCUCGUAGUCGGAUGUCGGGCUCGGGCAGGCUGUCGGCUUCGGUCGGACGGCAGGCUCGGGUCUUUCUGCCUGAGGAUCCCGUUGCACUUUAUUGUGGGGCGUGGGGACGCAGGCCGUUUACUUUGAAAAAAUUAGAGUGUUCAAAGCAGGCCUACGCUUGAAUACAUUAGCAUGGAAUAAUGGAAUAGGACUUUGGUGCUAUUUUGUUGGUUUAUGGGACCGAAGUAAUGAUUAACAGGGACAGUUGGGGCCGUUUAUAUUUCGUUGUCAGAGGUGAAAUUCUUGGAUUUACGAAAGAUAAACUUCUGCGAAAGCAUUCGGCAAGGAUGUUUUCAUUGAUCAAGAACGAAAGUUAGGGGAUCGAAGACGAUCAGAUACCGUCGUAGUCUUAACCAUAAACUAUGCCGACUAGGGAUCAGUGGAUGUCAAUUUGCGACUCCAUUGGCACCUUGUGAGAAAUCAAAGUUUUUGGGUUCCGGGGGGAGUAUGGUCGCAAGGCUGAAACUUAAAGGAAUUGACGGAAGGGCACCACCAGGAGUGGAGCCUG